This 468-nucleotide ribosomal RNA is filed under the name uncultured bacterium. RNAcentral describes it as "partial 16S ribosomal RNA". It matches the Rfam family "Bacterial small subunit ribosomal RNA", at positions 28 to 507 of the family's 1533-position model. The record is from RNAcentral.
GACGAACGCUGGCGGCGUGCUUAACACAUGCAAGUCGAACGGAAAGGCCCUGCUUUUGUGGGGCGCUCGAGUGGCGAACGGGUGAGUAACACGCGAGUAUCCCGCCCUUGACUGUGGGGUAAAUUCAGGAAACUGGGGCUCAUACCGGAUAGGAGAUACUGCUGCAUGGUGGGGGUUGGAAAGAUUCGGCGGUUGGGGAUGUACUCGCGGGUUACCAGCUUGAUGGUGGGGUAGUGGCUUACCAAGGCUUUGACGGGUAGCCGGCCUGAGAGGGUGACCGGGCACAUUGGGACUGCGAUAGGGACCAGACGCCUACGGGAGGCAGUAGUGGGGAGUAUUGCACAGUGGGCGGAAGCGAGAUGUAGCAACGCCGCGUGCGGGAUGACGGCCUUCGGGUGGUAAACCACUUUCUCCUGUGCCGAAGCCUGAGUGACGGUAAUGGGUAAAGAAGCACCGGCUAACUACGUG